Molecule: non-coding RNA, 21 nt
Filed under: Arabidopsis thaliana (thale cress)
Lineage: Eukaryota; Viridiplantae; Streptophyta; Magnoliopsida; Brassicales; Brassicaceae
Source: RNAcentral
UCAAUGCAUUGAAAGUGAUUA